CGUUAAUUCUCCCAAACCUGCUACGUUAAUUCUCCCAAACCUGCUACGUUAAUUCUCCCAAACCUGCAACGUUAAUUCUCCCAAACCUGCUACGUUAAUUCUCCCAAACCUGCUACGUUAAUUCUCCCAAACCUGCUACGUUAAUUCUCCCAAACCUGCUACGUUAGUUCUCCCAAACCUGCUACGUUAAUUCUCCCAAACCUGCUACGUUAAUUCUCCCUAACCUGCUACGUUAAUUCUCCCUAACCUGCUACGUUAAUUCUCCCUAACCUGCUACGUUAAUUCUCCCUAACCUGCUACGUUAAUUCUCCCAAACCUGCUACGUUAAUUCUCCCAAACCUGCUACGUUAACCUGCUACGUUAAUUCUCCCUAACCUGCUACGUUAAUUGUCCCAAACCUGCUACGUUAAUUGUCCCAAACCUGCUACGUUAGUUCUCCCUAACCUGCUACGUUAAUGCUCCCAAACCUGCUACAUUAAUGCUCCUAACUUGCUACAAAAAGUACAUUCUGAAAAACUCUGCAUCCCUUCUAGACCCGGCUUAGGGCCAGAUAAUUUUUAAAAAACGUACACUUCCAGUGAAUCAAGGCUCAAUUUGAAAAAAACACGUUUAUUUUUUAUAGCUGUUUUUAUAUGGUCUAACAUUUUACAGUUUUAAUACAACAACUGUUGCCAAUUGUCAUUUAUACAUUAUUCUGACAAUCACAGUCUUAGAUUUGAAUAAUUAACAGAUAUGGUUUUAAUUUCAGAAUUUGAUCAUUAGGGACAUAUUAGGUUCUAGAAGACGUUCAUUUCCUCAGCAGUUUGAGAUUGUAUUUAUGCUAAUUAGAUACAACUUGUUUACAACAUUUAUAAUUAGUAAAAAUGGUCUUCAUUACAAAAUGUACACUUACUUGACACGCCAUAUUAAUGUCUAAACCUCUAUAAAGGUACAUGUUUUUAUGAAUGGUUAUUGUAAAUUACAGAUUUGAAUGAUUUGGAUUGUUUCACAAUUUGUCUUUAAAGAAAUGUGCCAAAAACUAUUGACUGACCAGUUAUCAUUGUCAUUUUGCAAUGUUAUCGAUUUUAUCCUGGAGGUGUCCACUAUUUCUGAAAAGAAGUAAUGAUUUAUUUUAUUUUAUGAAUGUUCUGAGAUUACAGUGUUUGAUCUUGAACCAUAUUCAUUUAGUAUAAAAUAAUUUACUCAGUA
Molecule: long non-coding RNA, 1188 nt
Organism: Oncorhynchus tshawytscha (Chinook salmon)
Lineage: Eukaryota; Metazoa; Chordata; Actinopteri; Salmoniformes; Salmonidae
Source: Ensembl